This 70-nucleotide transfer RNA is filed under the name Camponotus atrox. Its description in RNAcentral is "tRNA-Ile". Lineage: Eukaryota; Metazoa; Arthropoda; Insecta; Hymenoptera; Formicidae. The record is from RNAcentral.
AAUGAUAUGCCUGAGUAAAGGAUUAUUUUGAUAGAAUAAAUCACACAUUAAUUUUAAAAUGUUUUCAUUA